AUGAGCUCACCAAACUCCCAAGACACGACUGACGACGCUGGAGUCGUGGAUAUUGCAGUGAAGACCAAGAACUGGGUCCAAUUCGAGGAGGAACCGGCUCCUAAGCUGCCUGAAGAAACUCUCCCAGCGACGAUAAAACCUGAAACAGUAACUGUUAGUAUUGAUAAGAUUGUCAAGGAAGCCGAACAAAAAGAUAUCGCUAGUAUUCCUACUGCUAGUGUUCCUGCUGGAGCAGUAGCUGGUAAUUCAAACAAGAAAAACGAGUACAGCGGAGCUGUAAUAGCAACCGAGUCCGUCCAAAUAAAUUUAGAUAGAUCAGGACUCAGCAGAUCUAUUUCUAAUGAGAGUCCUGAAGCUAAUGUUCCUUCGGAUGUUAAAGUUUCCGAUCCUAAGAGCGCCUCUCUCAAAACUAUUGACCUCAGGGACACUUCUAAUGGUCGCAGUAAUGUUAAUAAUGUUAUCAGCACGCCUAUUGGCAACAUCAGGAGAGGAUUCGCUAAUGGUGACACUAUUGUCACACUACUACCGGUUAAUACGAGAUGGCCAUGGAUUACUCCGGCUAAAUUUCGACCUGAAUUAGUUCCGGAAGAACUCAUGGCUCAAGGUCUUACGUUAACGGUGGAAGAUUACGUUCACGUUAUGGAGUUGCUGGUCAACGAUGUGCGUUUUAAUAUGUACAAUAUUUGUUAUAAGCGUAUCCUUGUGCUGUGGAUUUUCACAGCAUUUGUUAUUCUACUUGGUCUGUUGUUUUCUGGUCUGGCUGGACUUACACUAUUUGGCCUUGGUAUUAUGUGGUUAAUACUAAAUGCAGCAGCUAUAUUUUUAUGUAUGUUUAUAAAGAUAAAACUAAAUCAUAAUUUAGAAAAAUGUAUGGCUCAAGUAAACAAGCAUUUGUUACGUCACAAGAUAAUUGUCGGUCUAGAUGACAGAGGGAAAAUAUCUUGUCAUAAAGUUAAUUUAUGCUUCAUCUACUUUGACACUACAGACUGCGUAAAAAAACUCCAAGAAGUUAUCGAGAGAGAGGAACGCGAGGGCAGAGUCAUUGGAGGUGAAGAAACUAAUGAAAUGCAACGACGUAGACAGGAAUUGCAGCAGCGGAUGGACAUUGAUGAUACCGAUAUUGUCAUACAAGGAAGCACUACCACCAGGUUAUCACGCAAACAGGAGCGGGCGGAAAUGCUGUUACUGAGGUACGCGUCCAGGUGGACACGUCAAUUUGUCCGUCACAGACUCGACCUGGUAGUAGACUCCCAGGAACGGAAUAGAGCCUACGUUGGACCAGCUAUUCCUCCGCGUCACUGCGUCUCCGCCCGUUGUCCUUGCCAGUUUAUCGAGGAUCAUCUCAAAUACAAACCCCGAGCUGGACAAGUGGAGAAAGUAUCUGUUCGAUCUUACACUCAUGCUUUAAAUACUUGAAUAAAAAAACGAAAUAAUUUAAAUAAAUAUUAUUAAAUGCACAAGGGAGUGCGCUAUCCGCCAGGUUUUACGUGGUGUGCUUACCUUAGCGAUCCUGCUAUUAGGUUUGACCCGACAUACAGCCCAAGUCCGUGCAAUAGAGUUUGAUAAGUUUUUAUUUUAAACUGUUAAUAUUUCGCCUUUUAUUUUAUUUUUAUUAAAUUAUUGAUUUAUACAUAAAAUAAUUAAUUGAUAUUGGAAUUGUUUGUUUAUAUUUUGAAAUGUAGUGUCAUAUGAAGCAAUUGUCGUAUACGUUUAAAUGAUUAUUGUAGAGGAGAGUGUGCUUCGAUAUUUUGUCAGAGUGUGAAUGACAGCCCUGGAUGUUGUACAUUUAAUUGAACAUAUCGCAGUAAUUAAGCUGGGCCCCACUAAAUUAUUAUUAAUUACUUAACUUUAAUUACCUAACGUAACUAUUGGACUAAAUGUUGAUAACAGUUACGUUGUAUCUGUUUGAUGUAAAAAAAUUGUGCCUUAAAUGUCUGAUCAACAGUGUGAACACUUAUUUUGUAAUUGUUUACUAAUCCGUCCAUAUUCGAUUUUUUCAAUCAUUCCAAUCAAAUUAUGUGCAGUACAAAUUGUGUAAUUGUUAAUGAUUUGAAUAAAUACGUAUGAAAAUUCUAA
RNA transcript from Cotesia glomerata, 2076 nucleotides. It is a transcript of the gene named transmembrane protein 268, with no coding region annotated. The record is from RefSeq and is a predicted model, not a curated record. The transcript has 6 exons. Lineage: Eukaryota; Metazoa; Arthropoda; Insecta; Hymenoptera; Braconidae.